RNAcentral lists this ribosomal RNA (486 nucleotides) under uncultured fungus. RNAcentral describes it as "eukaryotic LSU rRNA". The stretch from base 32 to 185 matches the Rfam family "5.8S ribosomal RNA". The record is from RNAcentral. Lineage: Eukaryota; Fungi.
GUUCACACUUGCNAUCUACGCAAAUCAAUACAACUUUCAACAACGGAUCUCUUGGCUCUCGCAUCGAUGAAGAACGCAGCGAAAUGCGAUACGUAAUGUGAAUUGCAGAAUUCAGUGAAUCAUCGAAUCUUUGAACGCACCUUGCGCCCCUUGGCAUUCCGAGGGGCACACCCGUUUGAGUGUCGUGAAAUCUUCAACCUUCUCCGCUUCUUUUUGAUCGGGGGGAAGGCUUGGACUUUGGAGGCUUUUUGCUGGCAUCUCUUUGAAGCCAGCUCCUCUUAAAUGCNUUAGCGGGUUUUGUCAAUCCUCGACGUGAUAAAGUUUUUCUACGUCUGAAGCUUGGCUUUAAUACCCGCUUCUAAUGGUCUCGUCGAGACGCUUGGNCGAGUUUUGCCCCUCAGUUGGGUGGGACUUUGGCCCAUAUGAACCAUUUGACCUCAAAUCGGGUGAGACUACCCGCUGAACUUAAGCAUAUCAAUAAGCGGA